AGCACAGUCUCCCUGCCAGAUGUGCAGUACUGAGUGACCCUUCUGUGCCAUUCCCCGGCCCUGCCAGCUCCUCCUCAUGCCCGAGCUUGCUGACAGAGGAUGGUGUCCCUCGGCCGGUGCUGGCACAUUAUGCCGGGACAGCUGCGCGGAGUGAGCAGCAGCGAUGUGCUGGGCUGCUCCUGCAUCCUUCGGAGCAGCAGUCUCCCCUGCGCCUGGAGCAGUCAGGGGCUGGGGUGCUGCAGGCAGCCUGGCUUGGGGACCAAGGGGCCGCUGGGCGUCAGAGGAAGCUGCUCCACUGGUGGAGAUGAUACGAUGCUGUCACCUGACUGCAAGAUGGUACAUUUUGAAGAAUUCAGCAGGAAGUUUGUCAGCCAUCUCAAACUGGUCACUCCAGUGUUCCUGCACUUACUAGCCUGGAUAAAACUGCCACUGAACCACUUCUUUUAAGAAAGUAUUUCAAGGGCAGAAAAUUCUCAGAAAUGUUUUUCAGAUGGGCACCUCCCUAUCUUCACUUUCAAAGAACAAUUUUAAGCUAAGGAGCACCUGAAACAGGAAACUUUAAAACAAAGAUUUCAGAGAUGUGUCAGUAUCUUGUGUAAGGUAUGGCAGCCAUCUCAGGCUAUGUUAUCUUGUCCUUCACCAGAAAUUGCUCUUAAUCAUUUAUAGCUAUCUUAUACAUGCAUCUUGCAUCUUUAACAGAUCGAUUCCCUUUAUGUGAAAUGCACAAUUCAAAAAUCAGGUAUUAUUAUGCUGUUACCAGGCAUAAUUAGCCUUAUGUAUUUUGUUUACAGAUUACACUGAAACUGUUCUGUAUGCCUUCUGAACAGAUCAUGCUGGCUUUGCAUUAAUGGCAUUUUAUGGUCUGCUUUAAUUUUCAAAAUGCAAGACCAGUAGUUGAAUCUGCCACACAGGAAAUAUGGGAUCUUUCAGAAACUAUGGGAUUAAGAAAAAGAGUCAGUGACUUUCCAGAGGAAAUAUCAGUAAGUCAGUAAAAGGCAAACAAUAGCAUGCUUGAUAUUACAAUAAAUGGGUUAUAAAAGCUGUUUCUCCUUCUUCA
Molecule: long non-coding RNA, 1057 nt
Filed under: Cyanistes caeruleus (blue tit)
Lineage: Eukaryota; Metazoa; Chordata; Aves; Passeriformes; Paridae
Description: lncRNA (ENSCCEG00000022769.1)
Source: RNAcentral